Molecule: transfer RNA, 76 nt
Filed under: Gammaproteobacteria bacterium RIFCSPHIGHO2_12_FULL_35_23
Lineage: Bacteria; Pseudomonadati; Pseudomonadota; Gammaproteobacteria
Description: tRNA-Glu
Rfam family: tRNA
About the family: Transfer RNA (tRNA) molecules are approximately 80 nucleotides in length. Their secondary structure includes four short double-helical elements and three loops (D, anti-codon, and T loops).
Source: RNAcentral
GUCCCCGUCGUCUAGAGGCCUAGGACAUUACCCUUUCACGGUAGCAACACGGGUUCGAAUCCCGUCGGGGACGCCA